AACGAACGCUGGCGGCAUGCCUAACACAUGCAAGUCGAACGAGACCUUCGGGUCUAGUGGCGCACGGGUGCGUAACGCGUGGGAACCUGCCCUUAGGUUCGGAAUAACUCCCCGAAUGGGGUGCUAAUACCGGAUAAUGUCUUCCGACCAAAGGUUUAUCGCCUUUGGAUGGGCCCGCGUUGGAUUGGCUAGUUGGUAGGGUAAAAGCCUACCAAGGCGACGAUCCAUAGCUGGUUUGAGAGGAUGAUCAGCCACACUGGGACGGAGACACGGCCCAGACUCCUACGGGAGGCAGCAGUGGGGAAUAUUGGACAAUGGGCGAAAGCCUGAUCCAGCAAUGACGGGUGAGUGAUGAAGGCCGUAGGGUUGUAAAGCUCUUUUACCCGGGAUGAUAAUGACGGUACCGGGAGAAUAAGCUCCGGCUAACUCCGUG
RNAcentral lists this ribosomal RNA (433 nucleotides) under uncultured bacterium. RNAcentral's name for it is "partial 16S ribosomal RNA". It matches the Rfam family "Bacterial small subunit ribosomal RNA", at positions 29 to 507 of the family's 1533-position model. The record is from RNAcentral.